UACGUAGGUGGCAAGCGUUGUCCGGAUUUACUGGGUGUAAGGGGCGUGUAGCCGGGCUGACAAGUCAGAUGUGAAAUCCGGGGGCUCAACCCCCGAACUGCAUUUGAAACUGUUGGUCUUGAGUAUCGGAGAGGCAGGCGGAAUUCCUAGUGUAGCGGUGAAAUGCGUAGAUAUUAGGAGGAACACCAGUGGCGAAGGCGGCCUGCUGGACGACAACUGACGGUGAGGCGCGAAAGCGUGGGGAGCAAACAGG
Molecule: ribosomal RNA, 253 nt
Filed under: uncultured bacterium
Lineage: Bacteria
Description: partial 16S ribosomal RNA
Rfam family: Bacterial small subunit ribosomal RNA
Source: RNAcentral